UUAUUAUUUUGGUCCCAGUGUAUCCUGAGGGUGGUCUGACAACUUGUCAGACCUAUGUGAAGUCUCAUCCUAGGAGAAAACUUCCUCCUGGGUCUGCAGCAAGCUUCAGUCUCCCUUCCUCCCAGCACUGGAUUCCCAUGGACACUAAAUCAGUGAUUCUCAACCCUCCUAACUCUGCAACCCUCUGAUACAGUUCCUCAUGCUAUGGUGACCCCCCAUCAAGUUAUUUUAUUUCCUACUUAAUAACUGUAAUUUUGCUACUGUUAUGAAUUAUAACGUACACACCUAUGUUUUCUUUCAGAUGGUGUUAGGCAACCCCAAUGAAAAUGUUGUUUAACCACCGAAGGAGUGGUGACCCACAGCACCUCUGAGCUUUUCAUCAUUGCUAAGUCUCUCCUGGACCAAACGUCCCAUAAAGUUCACCUUCCUGGGAGUAAAGAUCAAUGCAGGAAGAAGAACAUCCAUUGGUUGUCUUUGAUGGAUCUAUGAUUGACUCCAAAGUCAGACAAAAAGUCUGGGGUAUUCUAUGGACACGUAAAGGAGACCACAUCUGACGAGAGACCAAAGCCUUCUCUCAGAGCAUCUUCCCAACCUAUUUCUAGCUUUCAUAUGACACGAAAUAAAAUGAAAGCAAUAAUUUAUCUGCCUUGUUUUUAAAAUAAAGCUGCCA
Non-coding RNA from Rattus norvegicus (Norway rat), 670 nucleotides. The record is from RefSeq and is a predicted model, not a curated record. Lineage: Eukaryota; Metazoa; Chordata; Mammalia; Rodentia; Muridae.